CCCUUAGAUGUUCUGGGCUGCACGCGUGCUACACUGAUAUUGCCAAUAUGUCAUCCUUAUCCGAAAUGGAUUGGGUAAUCAAGUAAUGAAAUUUCAUGCUUGGAAUCGGUAAUUGCAAUUUUAUCGUGAACGAGGAAUUCCUAGUAAGCACUAGUCAUCAGCUAAUGUUGAUUAUGUCCCUGCCCUUUGUACACACCGCCCGUCGCUACUACUGAUUGGGUGUUCAAGUGAGAUGCUUAGACCCUUGUUGCAUGGUUCAUUAUUGUGCUCCGAAAGGAAAAAGUUUCAAGCUUGAGUGUCUAGAGGAAGUAAAAGUCGUAACA
This 323-nucleotide ribosomal RNA is filed under the name uncultured eukaryote. RNAcentral's name for it is "partial 18S ribosomal RNA". It matches the Rfam family "Eukaryotic small subunit ribosomal RNA", at positions 1470 to 1796 of the family's 1831-position model. The record is from RNAcentral.